Molecule: small RNA, 101 nt
Filed under: Flavobacterium sp. 9R
Lineage: Bacteria; Pseudomonadati; Bacteroidota; Flavobacteriia; Flavobacteriales; Flavobacteriaceae
Description: Flavo-1
Rfam family: Flavo-1 RNA
Source: RNAcentral
UUAUAGCAGGGAUUGCGUGAGGGAUAGCAGUGGAGCUCUUUUUGUAAGCUGGCUUUUUUUGACAGGUUAUAAAAAAGCGGGAACGGAUAGCCCGACCCGAC